UUGAAAGGGAAACGAUUGAAGUCAGUCAUGCCGGCGAGAAAUCAGCCUACAGGCCACUGUGGGUGCACUUUAUCGCAAGGCAGGUUAACAUGGAUUUUUGUUGCGUUAUAAUGAUUGUAGGAAGGUGGCUCCUUCGGGAGUGUUAUAGCCUACUUUAGAUGACGUGGCGGAGAUCGAGGAUUGCAGCGAAUGCCUUUUGGCCACGAGUCUGUUCUCUGUCGAACGCCAAUUGGUCGUCAGCUUGCUGACGCACGGUUGGUCGGCUUGACAACAGGAUGGAAUUCGAUAAAUUCGUUAAGGAUGUUGACGUAAGUC
This 315-nucleotide ribosomal RNA is filed under the name uncultured Glomeromycotina. RNAcentral's name for it is "LSU rRNA". The record is from RNAcentral. Lineage: Eukaryota; Fungi; Glomeromycota.